This 557-nucleotide ribosomal RNA is filed under the name Allobosea sp. StTD315. Its description in RNAcentral is "bacterial SSU rRNA". It matches the Rfam family "Bacterial small subunit ribosomal RNA", at positions 102 to 694 of the family's 1533-position model. Lineage: Bacteria; Pseudomonadati; Pseudomonadota; Alphaproteobacteria; Hyphomicrobiales; Alloboseaceae. RNAcentral also lists the same sequence under 1 other name. The record is from RNAcentral.
ACGGGUGAGUAACGCGUGGGAACGUGCCUUUCGGUUCGGAAUAAUCCAGGGAAACUUGGACUAAUACCGGAUACGCCCUUCGGGGGAAAGAUUUAUCGCCGAAAGAUCGGCCCGCGUCUGAUUAGCUAGUUGGUGAGGUAAAGGCUCACCAAGGCGACGAUCAGUAGCUGGUCUGAGAGGAUGAUCAGCCACAUUGGGACUGAGACACGGCCCAAACUCCUACGGGAGGCAGCAGUGGGGAAUAUUGGACAAUGGGCGCAAGCCUGAUCCAGCCAUGCCGCGUGAGUGAUGAAGGCCUUAGGGUUGUAAAGCUCUUUUGUCCGGGAAGAUAAUGACUGUACCGGAAGAAUAAGCCCCGGCUAACUUCGUGCCAGCAGCCGCGGUAAUACGAAGGGGGCUAGCGUUGCUCGGAAUCACUGGGCGUAAAGGGCGCGUAGGCGGACUUUUAAGUCGGAGGUGAAAGCCCAGGGCUCAACCCUGGAAUUGCCUUCGAUACUGGGAGUCUUGAGUUCGGAAGAGGUUGGUGGAACUGCGAGUGUAGAGGUGAAAUUCGUAGA